This 213-nucleotide ribosomal RNA is filed under the name uncultured bacterium. Its description in RNAcentral is "partial 16S ribosomal RNA". It matches the Rfam family "Bacterial small subunit ribosomal RNA", at positions 1280 to 1500 of the family's 1533-position model. The record is from RNAcentral.
CCCUAGUCUCAGUUCGGAUUGGAGUCUGCAACCCGACUCCAUGAAGCUGGAUUCGCUAGUAAUCGCGCAUCAGCCACGGCGCGGUGAAUACGUUCCCGGGCCUUGUACACACCGCCCGUCAAGCCAUGGAAGCCGGGAGUGCCUGAAGUGCGUGACCGCAAGGAGCGUCCUAAGGCAAUACCGGUGACUGGGGCUAAGUCGUAACAAGGUAAC